Procambarus clarkii (red swamp crayfish) is the source of this 1559-nucleotide long non-coding RNA. RefSeq lists it as uncharacterized. Lineage: Eukaryota; Metazoa; Arthropoda; Malacostraca; Decapoda; Cambaridae. The record is from RefSeq and is a predicted model, not a curated record.
AGGUCCAGCACAGGUUCAGCGCGGGGUCCGCCCGCCUGUCUCACUCUAGCGCCAAUACUAACACCACUACCGCCUGGGACGCUACACACUGCUCCUGCCCUCUCGUCUGGGUAUUCCGGUGUGGAACGUGUGUUCUUCAGGUAACUGUGUUCACCUGAGCACUGUGCAGGUGGCCCCUCAUCGACUGCACCUCUUAACACAUCCCAGUUACUAGGCAAAGGUAAAGGAGGUUCCUGCCAUCGUGUGAGAAUGGUGGCACCGUUCCUGGUGGGAGCGCCCUUGCGUUCCUUCGUACGAGUGCCAGGCAGCGGCACAGACAAGAGUGCCAGGCUAGUGGCGUGUGACCUCUGCCGCAUGUCGACCAUCACCCCGGGUAGCCACCAGAGGCAAGUGACCACCAUGCCCCACGCCCCCAUAGAUGACCUCAGCCACCACCCACCACCACCACCACACAAGCUUGCCGACCACCACGCCCUGCAGCUGGUAGACACCACAAUGAAACUCCUUCCUCUUUAAGACCACCACCAUAACAAUGUUACCAUGGACAAAAUUCCUUCAGAUGUGUAAGCACAAUGUAGAAGCAAAGAUCACUUGAUUUGAGACUUGAGAAUGGUCCAGGACGGACCGAAACGUCGUCGUCCCUUCAAUUUCUAGUGUGUGGUCUGGUCAACAUACUUCAGCCACGUUAUUGGGACUCCUCGCCUGCAAAAAGACCACAUGAGGUACUUACUGAGAGAAACUCAUCUUGGCUAAAAGUCCUUCCAGAGUUCAUGAACUAUGUGUCCCCUUCAUUAAGGUCAGUUGUCCACUAGUGAAUUUAGAAAGGGGCGCCAGUGAAGGGAAAGCCAUCAUUUGCCCACCGGCAAUGUUCCAAAAUGCAAAACAUUGCCUAUAAUGUAACAACGCUUGCAGGGUGCCUUUGAGAACACCAGGGGGUUCAGGAAGAGUGCUCAACGGUUCUGAGUGGUGCAGGACGACCUAUGGCUGAGCCGCAGUUGAAUAUCCAUUAACUUUUGCCCUGUAUCAAUGGAACUACAUAGAGAGAGGAAGUCCUGAUGGCUUUGACAGGCAUGAGAAGAAGGGACAAUAAUGUAGCCAAGGGCACAGAGGAACCCGACAGGCCGGGUCCUAUAGGUGAGGUCACUGAACCAGCCAGAACUUUGGGGAGGAGUUUGAGAGGUCAAUAGGAAAGCCAAAUAAAGUCCCCCCAUCUCUGUGGGGUGCUUGAAGCCAUGUUCUGUAACUUAGGGCCUAGGAGACAGCUCCAGGAAAUUGGGCAUGAGGGCCAUGGCUGAGUCUGGCCUUGGGGGGGCACGUCUGAGAUCAUAGAAGGGAAAGGGUCAGUUAUGCUGGGUAAAGGGCAAAGAAAGUAGAGAACAUUCCUGUAAUUACUGGUUCAUGCACUUUACCUGCUGUAAUCAAUAAGCACUUAAUCCGUGUUAAGAUACCAUGAACAUUUAUACUCAAGUGCCUUCUUUGGAUUUACUAACACACCCUAACAAAUUCAAAGAAUGCAUUUGCCUGGUUUAAUAAAUUCAUGUUACUGAACUAUAAAGAUA